ACAAACAAAGAUGUUGUGUCCGCCGAGAACUAAAAAAUAAAUAUUAAAAAAAAAAUUCUCUCUCUCUCUCUCUGUCUCUCUUUAAAAAAAAAAAAGAGAGAGAGAGUCAGAGAACUUUUUUUAAUAUUUAUUUUUUAGUUUUCGGCGGACACAACAUCUUUGUUUGUAUGUGGUGCUGAGGAUCGAACCCGGGCCGCACACAU
Molecule: small RNA, 203 nt
Filed under: Marmota monax (woodchuck)
Lineage: Eukaryota; Metazoa; Chordata; Mammalia; Rodentia; Sciuridae
Source: RNAcentral